RNAcentral lists this ribosomal RNA (468 nucleotides) under uncultured bacterium. RNAcentral's name for it is "partial 16S ribosomal RNA". It matches the Rfam family "Bacterial small subunit ribosomal RNA", at positions 28 to 507 of the family's 1533-position model. The record is from RNAcentral.
GACGAACGCUGGCGGCGUGCUUAACACAUGCAAGUCGAACGGAAAGGCCCUGCUUUUGUGGGGUGCUCGAGUGGCGAACGGGUGAGUAACCCGUGAGUAACCUGCCCUUGACUUUGGGAUAACUUCAGGAAACUGGGGCUAAUACCGGAUAGGAGCUCCUGCUGCAUGGUGGGGGUUGGACAGUUUCGGCGGUUGGGGAUGGACUCGCGGCUUAUCAGCUUGUUGGUGGGGUAGUGGCUUACCAAGGCUUUGACGGGUAGCCGGCCUGAGAGGGUGACCGGCCACAUUGGGACUGAGAUACGGCCCAGACUCCUACGGGAGGCAGCAGUGGGGAAUAUUGCACAAUGGGCGGAAGCCUGAUGCAGCAACGCCGCGUGCGGGAUGACGGCAUUCGGGUUGUAAACCGCUUUCGCCUGUGACGAAGCGUGAGUGACGGUAAUGGGUAAAGAAGCACCGGCUAACUACGUG